RNAcentral lists this ribosomal RNA (255 nucleotides) under uncultured bacterium. RNAcentral describes it as "partial 16S ribosomal RNA". It matches the Rfam family "Bacterial small subunit ribosomal RNA", at positions 524 to 776 of the family's 1533-position model. The record is from RNAcentral.
UACGGGGGGGAGCAAGCGUUGUUCGGAUUUACUGGGCGUAAAGGGCGCGUAGGCGGUCGUGACAAGUCACUUGUGAAAUCUCCGGGCUUAACUCGGAACGGUCAAGUGAUACUGUCGGACUAGAGUACAGAAGGGGCAACUGGAAUUCUCGGUGUAGCGGUGAAAUGCGUAGAUAUCGAGAGGAACACCUGCGGCGAAGGCGGGUUGCUGGGCUGAUACUGACGCUGAGGCGCGAAAGCUAGGGGAGCGAACGGG